UAUGUAGGUGGUUUAGCAAGCGUAGGGUUUAAGGCGACAGCCCAACUGUCGUAUGCCCCGCGAACUGUUAGACAUGAGUACAGGAGGGGAAGGCGGAAUUCCUAGUGUAGCGGUGAAAUGCGUAGAUAUUAGGAGGAACACCGGUGGCGAAGGCGGCCUUCUGGACUGUAACUGACACUGAGAUACGAAAGCGUGGGUAGCAAACA
Molecule: ribosomal RNA, 206 nt
Filed under: uncultured bacterium
Lineage: Bacteria
Description: partial 16S ribosomal RNA
Rfam family: Bacterial small subunit ribosomal RNA
Source: RNAcentral